RNAcentral lists this unclassified non-coding RNA (330 nucleotides) under Sulfurivirga caldicuralii. Its description in RNAcentral is "Long range pseudoknot". Lineage: Bacteria; Pseudomonadati; Pseudomonadota; Gammaproteobacteria; Thiotrichales; Piscirickettsiaceae. The record is from RNAcentral.
ACUGAGGAAGGGGACUAUCAGGUAAAACUUCGCAACCUGAAACGUUUCCUGGAAAAGGGCGAUCGGGUCAAGGUCACCAUCUGGUUCCGUGGCCGCGAGCUGGCUCACAAGGAGCUGGGUCUGAAAAUGCUCGAACGCGUUCAGCAGGACGUGGAGGAGUUGGGCACAGUGGACCAAAUGCCGAAGAUGGAAGGUCGGCAGAUGCACAUGAUGGUGGUCCCGAAAAAGUAGGAAAAGCGGCUUGACCGUGAUUCUGGCGCCGCGAACGCGGUGACUGGAGCAGCUGUCCUCAGUGCUGCAACAGAAAAGGCGCUGCCAAGUUGGCAGCAA